RNAcentral lists this unclassified non-coding RNA (337 nucleotides) under soil metagenome. Its description in RNAcentral is "partial contains 5.8S ribosomal RNA, internal transcribed spacer 2, and large subunit ribosomal RNA". The stretch from base 1 to 120 matches the Rfam family "5.8S ribosomal RNA", at positions 35 to 154 of the family's 154-position model. The record is from RNAcentral.
GAUGAAGAACGUAGCGAAAUGCGAUAAGUAAUGUGAAUUGCAGAAUUCAGUGAAUCAUCGAAUCUUUGAACACACAUUGCGCCCGCCAGUAUUCUGGCGGGCAUGCCUGUUCGAGCGUCAUUUCAACCAUCAAGCCCCCGGGCUUGUGUUGGGGACCUGCGGCUGCCGCAGGCCCUGAAAAGCAGUGGCGGGCUCGCUGUCACACCGAGCGUAGUAGAUUUUAUCUCGCUCAGGGCGUGCUGCGGGUUCCGGCCGUUAAACCACCUUCAUAACCCAAGGUUGACCUCGGAUCAGGUAGGAAGACCCGCUGAACUUAAGCAUAUCAAUAAGCGGAGGA